This 232-nucleotide ribosomal RNA is filed under the name uncultured bacterium. RNAcentral's name for it is "partial 16S ribosomal RNA". It matches the Rfam family "Bacterial small subunit ribosomal RNA", at positions 118 to 347 of the family's 1533-position model. The record is from RNAcentral.
UGAGUAACCUGCCCUUCACUCUGGGAUAACUCCGGGAAACCGGGGCUAAUACUGGAUAUGACUCGAACAGGCAUCUGUUUCGGGUGGAAAGAUUUAUUGGUUGGAGGAUGGACUCGCGGCCUAUCAGCUUGUUGGUGAGGUAAUGGCUCACCAAGGCGACGACGGGUAGCCGGCCUGAGAGGGCGAUCGGCCACACUGGGACUGAGACACGGCCCAGACUCCUACGGGAGCA